GACGAACGCUGGCGGCGUGCUUAGCACAUGCAAGUCGAACGGUGAACCUCUUCGGAGGGGAUCAGUGGCGAACGGGUGAGUAACACGUGGGCAACCUGCCCCCGGCUCUGGGAUAACUCCAAGAAAUUGGGGCUAAUACCGGAUGUUCACCGCUUCCCGCAUGGGUGGUGGUGGAAAGGGUUUCCGGCUGGGGGUGGGCCCGCGGCCUAUCAGCUUGUUGGUGGGGUAGUGGCCUACCAAGGCGACGACGGGUAGCCGGCCUGAGAGGGUGACCGGCCACACUGGGACUGAGACACGGCCCAGACUCCUACGGGAGGCAGCAGUGGGGAAUAUUGCGCAAUGGGCGGAAGCCUGACGCAGCGACGCCGCGUGGGGGAUGACGGCCUUCGGGUUGUAAACCUCUUUCAGCAGGGACGAAGCGCAAGUGACGGUACCUGCAGAAGAAGCACCGGCCAACUACGUG
This 463-nucleotide ribosomal RNA is filed under the name uncultured bacterium. RNAcentral describes it as "partial 16S ribosomal RNA". It matches the Rfam family "Bacterial small subunit ribosomal RNA", at positions 28 to 507 of the family's 1533-position model. The record is from RNAcentral.